This 66-nucleotide transfer RNA is filed under the name Grapsus tenuicrustatus. RNAcentral's name for it is "tRNA-Ser". It matches the Rfam family "tRNA". From Rfam's summary of the family: Transfer RNA (tRNA) molecules are approximately 80 nucleotides in length. Their secondary structure includes four short double-helical elements and three loops (D, anti-codon, and T loops). The record is from RNAcentral. Lineage: Eukaryota; Metazoa; Arthropoda; Malacostraca; Decapoda; Grapsidae.
GGCUGUUUAGUUUAAUAAAACAUGUGUUUUGAAAGCAUAAGAUAAGAAAACUGAUUCUUAAUAGCU